UUAGCCUACGGGACGCAGCAGUGAGGAAUAUUGGUCAAUGGGAGAGAUCCUGAACCAGCCAAGCCGCGUGAGGGAAGACGGUCCUAUGGAUUGUAAACCUCUUUUGUCGGGGAGCAAGGCCCGCCACGUGUGGCGGGAAGGAGAGUACCCGAAGAAAAAGCAUCGGCUAACUCCGUGCCAGCAGCCGCGGUAAUACGGAGGAUGCGAGCGUUAUCCGGAUUUAUUGGGUUUAAAGGGUGCGUAGGCGGGAGGUUAAGUCAGCGGGCAAAUGUCGGGGGUCCACACCGGGCUGCCGGUUGAACUGG
This 305-nucleotide ribosomal RNA is filed under the name uncultured bacterium. RNAcentral describes it as "bacterial SSU rRNA". It matches the Rfam family "Bacterial small subunit ribosomal RNA", at positions 333 to 636 of the family's 1533-position model. The record is from RNAcentral.